UACGAAGGGUGCAAACGUUGCUCGGAAUUAUUGGGCGUAAAGCGCACGUAGGCGGCUUAGCAAGUCGGAUGUGAAAUCCCUUGGCUCAACCAAGGAAGUGCAUCCGAAACUGCUGAGCUUGAGUACCAAAGAGGAUCGCGGAAUUCCCGGUGUAGAGGUGAAAUUCGUAGAUAUCGGGAGGAACACCAGUGGCGAAGGCGGCGAUCUGGGUGGAUACUGACGCUGAGGUGCGAAAGCGUGGGGAGCAAACAGG
Molecule: ribosomal RNA, 253 nt
Filed under: uncultured bacterium
Lineage: Bacteria
Description: partial 16S ribosomal RNA
Rfam family: Bacterial small subunit ribosomal RNA
Source: RNAcentral